GAAACCAACCGGGAUUGCCUUAGUAACGGCGAGUGAAGCGGCAAAAGCUCAAAUUUGAAAUCUGGUACCUUCGGUGCCCGAGUUGUAAUUUGGAGAGGGCAACUUUGGGGCCGUUCCUUGUCUAUGUUCCUUGGAACAGGACGUCAUAGAGGGUGAGAAUCCCGUGUGGCGAGGAGUGCGGUUCUUUGUAAAGUGCCCUCGAAGAGUCGAGUUGUUUGGGAAUGCAGCUCUAAGUGGGUGGUAAAUUCCAUCUAAAGCUAAAUAUUGGCGAGAGACCGAUAGCGAACAAGUACAGUGAUGGAAAGAUGAAAAGAACUUUGAAAAGAGAGUGAAAAAGUACGUGAAAUUGUUGAAAGGGAAGGGCAUUUGAUCAGACAUGGUGUUUUGUGCCCUCUGCUCCUUGUGGGUAGGGGAAUCUCGCAUUUCACUGGGCCAGCAUCAGUUUUGGUGGCAGGAUAAAUCCAUAGGAAUGUAGCUUGCCUCGGUAAGUAUUAUAGCCUGUUGGGAAUACUGCCAGCUGGGACUGAGGACUGCGACGUAAGUCAAGGAUGCUGGCAUAAUGGUUAUAUG
RNAcentral lists this ribosomal RNA (570 nucleotides) under uncultured Saccharomyces. Its description in RNAcentral is "LSU rRNA". It matches the Rfam family "Eukaryotic large subunit ribosomal RNA", at positions 61 to 644 of the family's 3401-position model. Lineage: Eukaryota; Fungi; Ascomycota; Saccharomycetes; Saccharomycetales; Saccharomycetaceae. The record is from RNAcentral.